This 468-nucleotide ribosomal RNA is filed under the name uncultured bacterium. RNAcentral describes it as "partial 16S ribosomal RNA". It matches the Rfam family "Bacterial small subunit ribosomal RNA", at positions 28 to 507 of the family's 1533-position model. The record is from RNAcentral.
GACGAACGCUGGCGGCGUGCUUAACACAUGCAAGUCGAACGGAAAGGCCCUGCUUUUGUGGGGUGCUCGAGUGGCGAACGGGUGAGUAACACGUGAGUAACCUGCCCUUGACUUUGGGAUAACUUCAGGAAACUGGGGCUAAUACCGGAUAGGAGCUCCUGCUGCAUGGUGGGGGUUGGAAAGUUUCGGCGGUGGGGGAUGGACUCGCGGCUUAUCAGCUUGUUGGUGGGGUAGUGGCUUACCAAGGCUUUGACGGGUAGCCGGCCUGAGAGGGUGACCGGCCACAUUGGGACUGAGAUACGGCCCAGACUCCUACGGGAGGCAGCAGUGGGAAAUAUUGCACAAUGGGCGGAAGCCUGAUGCAGCAACGCCGCGUGCGGGAUGACGGCCUUCGGGUUGUAAACCGCUUUCGCCUGUGACGAAGCGUGAGUGACGGUAAUGGGUAAAGAAGCACCGGCUAACUACGUG